Molecule: ribosomal RNA, 441 nt
Filed under: uncultured bacterium
Lineage: Bacteria
Description: partial 16S ribosomal RNA
Rfam family: Bacterial small subunit ribosomal RNA
Source: RNAcentral
CCUACGGGUGACAGCAGUGGGGAAUAUUGCACAAUGGGGGAAACCCUGAUGCAGCGACGCCGCGUGAGUGAAGAAGUAUUUCGGUAUGUAAAGCUCUAUCAGCAGGGAAGAAGAAAGACGGUACCUGACUAAGAAGCCCCGGCUAACUACGUGCCAGCAGCCGCGGUAAUACGUAGGUGGCAAGCGUUAUCCGGAUUUACUGGGUGUAAAGGGCGUGUAGGCGGGAAAGCAAGUCAGAUGUGAAAACCAUGGGCUCAACCUGUGGCCUGCAUUUGAAACUGUUUUUCUUGAGUACUGGAGAGGCAGACGGAAUUCCUAGUGUAGCGGUGAAAUGCGUAGAUAUAAGGAAGAACACCAGUGGCGAAGGCGGAUGACUGGACGGCAACUGACGGUGAGGCGCGAAAGCGUGGGGAGCAAACAGGAUUAGAUACCCUAGUAGUC